AGUCCUCCUGCCCCGAGUCCAGAGGCAGCAAGGGAAGAGGCCAGGGAGAGUCCAACUACUAUUGGUAGAAAAAUGGUCUUUCCUGUUCUGGAAAGGGAGGUAGUAACAAGCUAUGUUAAUUCAGUGUCACUGUACAGAAUUAAUUGAGGGACCAAGGUGAAAGGAUCACAAAAAGCAAACAGCAUUUUGAGGCUUAGAUUUUUUUUUUUUGUUAGGAUACCAUUGCACCAGAAAAAAGAACCCAGGCAUAGCAAAGGUUAAGGAAGAAAUUCGAACAAUCUGGUCACAGGGUGCUGAACCUGAGGAAGUAUAACAGCAAGAGAAAUUCCCUGAUUAGUUAUGAAAAGAGGUACUUCCUCAAAGGCUGGAGAGGGAGGUCCUUGGAGUCUACUUGAGGUAUUGAGUGGAAAAUCAAUGGGAAUUGCAGUUAAUGGAGUAUGAUCCAAACCUGUGCAGAGGAAACAGUCUGAAGUGUUAUUCACUUUGGACAAAUUGAGAAGCUGAAGGCCCUGAUGUAUUACGGCCAUCCAUGAGAAAGGGUCAGCUUUGGGAUGGGCAACUGCAUCCAGCUGGUGUUAGAGUUCCUUCUCUUGCUCCUGGAUGGUUAUGUGAACUUGAGGGAACACUUGUAUGUAAGUUCUCCAUAUUCUGAUAGAGGCUGAGGGGUGUUUGGCAAAACUCCAUGAAUAAAAUUUACCAUCAACACCCAAAGCCCAUUUUGGGUUCCAUGGGUCCCAAAUAGUAAAUUUGGUGCAUGCAAGAUUCUCAUAGCAAGGCUUAUCUCGAAAGCAUUUUUUGCAUGAAUUAUAAGAGUACCCACCAUAGGUGUCAGGCCAGCACUUACAGGAUUCUUCAGUUUGGUCUGCUAUGAAGGACAGCAUUGCUGAACAUAAGUGAGAUGAGGUGGCCCAGUUGAAUCCAGUAACAUUAAGGGUGAUGGCCUGUUUACAGCCAAUGAAAGGGCAAUCGCUUUGAACCAUAAACUGAGAGUGGAUGGUGCCAUCCUGUUGCCAUGUCACUUGGAUGUAGAAGUGUCAUUUGUGGGUUGAGGUAGAAGCUUGAGAGAGAUUAAUGAUUAGUAACAAAGGAGAGAGUUGGCAAGAAACCUUGAGUUUGGUGGGCCCCAGCAUGGUAGAAGUAUGACUGUAUGGGGUCCCUGUUCAGCAAGGUUCCAAUGAUUGAGGGUGAGCUCUCAAAGUAAGACUGCAUCACCUGGUUGAAGAGGGUCCUAUUCAAUUCCUGGUUGUGCUGGGCCAGAAGUAAUGGAUGGUGCAGAAAGACACUGGUCUUGGUGUUCCCUUAGGAGUUUGUAUGGAAGUGUGAGAUAGUGCAGGUAGGACACAAGGGGAGGAGGAGUGACAGGAAAAUUUUGGUUGAUUAAGA
This 1383-nucleotide long non-coding RNA is filed under the name Marmota monax (woodchuck). The record is from RNAcentral. Lineage: Eukaryota; Metazoa; Chordata; Mammalia; Rodentia; Sciuridae.